UACGAAGGGGGCUAGCGUUGUUCGGAAUUACUGGGCGUAAAGCGCGCGCAGGCGGUCUUCCAAGUCAGUGGUGAAAGCCUGGAGCUCAACUCCAGAACUGCCAUUGAAACUGUUAGACUUGAGUACGGGAGAGGUGAGUGGAAUUCCCAGUGUAGAGGUGAAAUUCGUAGAUAUUGGGAAGAACACCAGUGGCGAAGGCGGCUCACUGGCUCGUAACUGACGCUCAGGCGCGACAGCGUGGGGAUCAAACAGG
Molecule: ribosomal RNA, 253 nt
Filed under: uncultured bacterium
Lineage: Bacteria
Description: partial 16S ribosomal RNA
Rfam family: Bacterial small subunit ribosomal RNA
Source: RNAcentral